CGUAGGGGAACCGUGCCCCACUAGUCUGGGAUACACUUGGAACAGGUGCUAAUACCGGAUAAGAAAGCAGAUCGCAUGAUCAGCUUUUAAAAGGCGGCGUAAGCUGUCGCUAUGGGAUGGCCCCGCGGUGCAUUAGCUAGUUGGUAAGGUAAAGGCUUACCAAGGCGAUGAUGCAUAGCCGAGUUGAGAGACUGAUCGGCCACAUUGGGACUGAGACACGGCCCAAACUCCUACGGGAGGCAGCAGCA
RNAcentral lists this ribosomal RNA (248 nucleotides) under uncultured Lactobacillus sp. RNAcentral's name for it is "partial 16S ribosomal RNA". It matches the Rfam family "Bacterial small subunit ribosomal RNA", at positions 116 to 355 of the family's 1533-position model. The record is from RNAcentral. Lineage: Bacteria; Bacillati; Bacillota; Bacilli; Lactobacillales; Lactobacillaceae.